This 333-nucleotide ribosomal RNA is filed under the name uncultured bacterium. RNAcentral describes it as "partial 16S ribosomal RNA". It matches the Rfam family "Bacterial small subunit ribosomal RNA", at positions 338 to 688 of the family's 1533-position model. The record is from RNAcentral.
CCUACGGGUGGCAGCAGUGGGGAAUAUUGCACAAUGGGGGAAACCCUGAUGCAGCGACGCCGCGUGAGUGAAGAAGUAUUUCGGUAUGUAAAGCUCUAUCAGCAGGGAAGAAAAUGACGGUACCUGAUUAAGAAGCCCCGGCUAACUACGUGCCAGCAGCCGCGGUAAUACGUAGGGGGCAAGCGUUAUCCGGAUUUACUGGGUGUAAAGGGGGCGUAGACGGGAGCACAAGUCUGGAGUGAAAUGCCGGGGCUUAACCCCGGAACUGCUUUGGAAACUGGGCAGCUAGAGUGCAGGAGGGGUAAGUGGAAUUCCUAGGGGAGCGGGGAAAAG